GACGUAGGGAGCGAGCGUUGUCCGGAUUUAUUGGGCGUAAAGGGCCCGUAGGCGGCUUGGCAAGUCAGGUGUGAAACCUCCAGGCUCAACCUGGAGACGCCACUUGAUACUGCUAUGGCUUGAGUCCGGUAGGGGAGCAUGGAAUACCCGGUGUAGCGGUGAAAUGCGCAGAUAUCGGGUGGAACACCAGUGGCGAAGGCGGUGCUCUGGGCCGGAACUGACGCUGAAUGGCGAAAGCGUGGGUAGCAAACAGG
RNAcentral lists this ribosomal RNA (254 nucleotides) under uncultured bacterium. RNAcentral describes it as "partial 16S ribosomal RNA". It matches the Rfam family "Bacterial small subunit ribosomal RNA", at positions 524 to 776 of the family's 1533-position model. The record is from RNAcentral.